UGGCUGUUACCGUCUGGUCAUGCCGACGCCCAUCUCACUUCUGCUAGGCUAGCAGACUUUAUGCUAACGCGUUAGCAUUUAAGCUAACGGACUUUCUCCUUCUUAUGGGUGGCGACUAACCCAGUACAGGAUGAAGGACUGAAAGAAGUCAUCGGCGUAGCGUCGGGAGAUCCCUCUUAUAAUCUGCCCUCGAGAGGAACCGUCGUGUCUAAGGAUACACACUUUCACAGGAGACCACUGGACUUCUGGGAACGACGACAACGACUUGGGCGUCACAGAGCAUUCCAUUGAAGAAGACUGGACUAACCCAGUCGUUUGCACUAACUACCUCAUUAUAGACCGGGUCCAGAUCAAAAACCACUGUGUCUAGCCUUCUCAAAUCCGGAGGUGAUUGCAUCACAAGCGCGUGUCGCGGCUGCCGUCCGAGGUGAUCUACUGGACCAAUUAGGAAACUGUUUUAAAUAAAUCUACAUAAGCGGUGACACUUUGACAGCCAACGCGUCAGGCGAGAAACACACCCAUCGCCGCACUACCAGACCUGAGAGGCAUCAUUACCCCUGAUGAAAAUGUCCUGACCAGAGAGGAAAAACAAGGACUUGCAGUGGAGAUGUAUUUGUAAAUGACUGCAAGUGUGUAAAGGGCAGUAAAAAAAACAGAUGGAGAGAUCAUUUGGUUUCUGCAUGUUGCUGACACGGGACAGGUUUAAUGUUCGUAAAGCAGCAGCUACACAGGUGCAUGUGCAUGAACACAGAUAUUAGUGUAGCCCCUUGAGUUCGUCCUUAGGAAACUCUCUGGUAACCCACGAGGCUCUUGAGGAUGGAGAUCUAUAUCUCCAUCUCUAUCUCCAUCCUUACAACUCCCACCGCUUUAUCCUCCACAUGAGGGUCGCUCCUCGCUGCCGACGUAGGGCAAAAAUGCAGGGGAACACCCUGGACAGGUCACCAGUCCGUCACAGGGCCACAGACACAAACAACAUCCACUCUCACACUUUCAAUUUGUAUGUAUUAAUAUAUAUAAUAGAUGAAUAGAUACACCUGCUGUUUCACACAUAUUUAACAGCAAAGCCAUAACAAAUAUCUUUCCCUAACAGCAGCAGCUUCAAUAAGAGUAUUUAACCACCCUCAGCAUAACUUCACAGUCACUGUUUCAUUUAUAAUCACAUUAGCAAAUUCCUACAUUUAAGGCUUCGGCAGUGUUGUUUACUUUGAUAUUUUCCAGCGUGAGACCAGGAUGCCUCUCCAUAUUUAUGACAGGAGAGAAGCUCCUGAAAUACGCCACAUCUGCUCGCUCUGCAUCUGGAGACGAGGACCCCACAUUGUUCCUGUCGACGCACAGUAAAGCGCUCCUUCUUAUCGUUUAAAAAUAGUACGAGUAAUGAGUAGAAGGCAGUGACAGGAUGUUACCUAACUGUGGCGACUUGUACUCUGCUUAUAAGAGACAUGAUGGUCUCAUGUAAAAGGUUAUUCAUCAGCAGCUCAGCCAUGGUGUGAUACUACUGCCAUCUACUGAUACUGCAGUGAUAAAUGUUUGUUAUGAAAGCUUUUUUAUUUUCAUAUGUGACCAACAUGCCUCAAAGGAAUGAUUUACCACCAACAUUUUCUCAAAAUCUAACAUGUUUGACCACUACUGAAGUGCACUUGUGACUGGACUUUUCUCUUCAGAGCUCAGCGUGUCAGCACGGAGAAGCAUUCACAAGUUACUUCAUUCUUUCACCAGAGGGAGCUGUAGAGCUGCAGCCGGAGGUGAGGUGAAGGCUUCUCUUCUUCAUUGUCCUUCACUGCUGCAAGGAAACACACACACACACACACACACACACACACACA
Long non-coding RNA from Solea solea (common sole), 1823 nucleotides. RefSeq lists it as uncharacterized. The transcript has 5 exons. Lineage: Eukaryota; Metazoa; Chordata; Actinopteri; Pleuronectiformes; Soleidae. The record is from RefSeq and is a predicted model, not a curated record.